This 942-nucleotide ribosomal RNA is filed under the name Conocybe pubescens. RNAcentral describes it as "LSU rRNA". It matches the Rfam family "Eukaryotic large subunit ribosomal RNA", at positions 38 to 966 of the family's 3401-position model. Lineage: Eukaryota; Fungi; Basidiomycota; Agaricomycetes; Agaricales; Bolbitiaceae. The record is from RNAcentral.
GCAUAUCAAUAAGCGGAGGAAAAGAAACUAACAAGGAUUCCCCUAGUAACUGCGAGUGAAGCGGGAAAAGCUCAAAUUUAAAAUCUGGCUGUCUUCGGCAGUCCGAGUUGUAAUCUAGAGAAGUGUUAUCCGCGUUGGACCGUGUACAAGUCUCCUGGAAUGGAGCAUCAUAGAGGGUGAGAAUCCCGUCUUUGACACGGACUACCAGUGCUUUGUGAUGCGCUCUCAAAGAGUCGAGUUGUUUGGGAAUGCAGCUCAAAAUGGGUGGUAAAUUCCAUCUAAAGCUAAAUAUUGGCGAGAGACCGAUAGCGAACAAGUACCGUGAGGGAAAGAUGAAAAGAACUUUGGAAAGAGAGUUAAACAGUACGUGAAAUUGCUGAAAGGGAAACGCUUGAAGUCAGUCACGUUGGCUAGAAAUCAACCUUGCUUUUGCUGGGCGUACUUUCUGGUUAACGGGUCAGCAUCAAUUUUGACCGUUGGAAAAAGUUCAGAGGAAUGUGGCAUCUUCGGAUGUGUUAUAGCCUCUGUUCGCAUACAAUGGUUGGGAUUGAGGAUCUCAGCACGCCGCAAGGCCGGGUUUCGACCACGUUCGUGCUUAGGAUGCUGGCAUAAUGGCUUUAAUCGACCCGUCUUGAAACACGGACCAAGGAGUCUAACAUGCCUGCGAGUGUUUGGGUGGAAAACCCAAGCGCGCAAUGAAAGUGAAAGUUGAGAUCCCUGUCAUGGGGAGCAUCGACGCCCGGACCAGACCUUUUGUGACGGAUCCGCGGUAGAGCAUGUAUGUUGGGACCCGAAAGAUGGUGAACUAUGCCUGAAUAGGGUGAAGCCAGAGGAAACUCUGGUGGAGGCUCGUAGCGAUUCUGACGUGCAAAUCGAUCGUCAAAUUUGGGUAUAGGGGCGAAAGACUAAUCGAACCAUCUAGUAGCUGGGUUCCUGCCGAAG